AGCUCCAGUAGCGUAUAUUAAAGUUGUUGCAGUUAAAAAGCUCGUAGUUGGAUUUCUGGCGAACCGUUGCGGCCCGUGCUCGUCUCGGGCGUGUGUGCCGUGUCGUGUUUGUCAUCCUUCCAGAAAGCUGCGUCUACCAUUUAUUUGGCCGGACGUACGUGAUCUGGAUCGAUUACUUUGAAAAAAUUAGAGUGUUUAAAGCAGGCUUAUGCUGUGAAUACAUUAGCAUGGAAUAAUAAUUUAGGACUUCUUCUAUUU
This 258-nucleotide ribosomal RNA is filed under the name uncultured Imbricatea. RNAcentral describes it as "partial small subunit ribosomal RNA". It matches the Rfam family "Eukaryotic small subunit ribosomal RNA", at positions 587 to 839 of the family's 1831-position model. Lineage: Eukaryota; Cercozoa; Imbricatea. The record is from RNAcentral.